This 253-nucleotide ribosomal RNA is filed under the name uncultured bacterium. Its description in RNAcentral is "partial 16S ribosomal RNA". It matches the Rfam family "Bacterial small subunit ribosomal RNA", at positions 524 to 776 of the family's 1533-position model. The record is from RNAcentral.
GACAGAGGUGCCAAGCGUUAGGCGGAAUCACUGGGCUAAAAGCGUGUGUAGGCGGGUCGUUAAGUGUCUUGUGAAAUCCCCCGGCUCAACCGGGGAAUGGCUGGGCAUACUGGCGAUCUUGAGCAGUCUAGGGGCAGAUGGAACAGACGGUGGAGCGGUGAAAUGCGCAGAUAUCGGGAAGAACACCCGUGGCUAAGGCGGCUCUCUAGUACGGUACUGACGCUGAGACGCGAAAGCGUGGGGAGCGAACAGG